AACAUGCCUUAAAAUGGCUUUCAGAAGUAUUUAACCAUUCUUUUCCUGAAAUAAUGAAUAGAAGAAAAUUUCCCAAAAACAUUGUAAGCCUAGAUCAAAGAACCACUGUCACCAAUGGUCUCUACGAUCAACUUAGCUCACAAUGUUUUUGAGAAACGCAGCCCAGAAUAGUGGUUGAUACUUAAACAUUUGUUUGCUUAUAUUUUUAUAGGAUUAUUCACCAUAAAUGAACAAGGAUUGACCCCACCCUCUGACUUUUUUGGAGUUGCUUGCAUCACACAAACGUAUGUAACGUGCCCUGUAAGAGAUAUGAACAUGUGAGCGAGUGUAUAUAUAUAGUUCAUGUUUCUUUACAAUGUUUGGCUCAGACAAGACUGAGCUGCAGAGCACAGCAGGGCGAUCAUCGUGGUUGGCAUUUGGCAUCAUUUGCAGGGACGUGCAAACAGGAUGCCAAGCAAGUUUUGAAACAUUCAGGAAAUAGCUUUUAAUGCGAAACCAUACAACUCUAUAGUUGGUUCCAAUGCUGCAGCCAGAAAAUAAAGAUCAUGGAUUGA
This is a long non-coding RNA of Onychostoma macrolepis, 554 nucleotides long. RefSeq lists it as uncharacterized. The transcript is spliced from 2 exons. The record is from RefSeq and is a predicted model, not a curated record. Lineage: Eukaryota; Metazoa; Chordata; Actinopteri; Cypriniformes; Cyprinidae.